This 565-nucleotide ribosomal RNA is filed under the name uncultured bacterium. RNAcentral describes it as "bacterial SSU rRNA". It matches the Rfam family "Bacterial small subunit ribosomal RNA", at positions 338 to 916 of the family's 1533-position model. The record is from RNAcentral.
CCUACGGGAGGCAGCAGUGGGGAAUCUUGUGCAAUGGACGAAAGUCUGACACAGCCACGCCGCGUGCGGGAAGAAGGCCUUCGGGUUGUAAACCGCUUUCAGCAGGAACGAAAAUGACGGUACCUGCAGAAGAAGAUGCGGCCAACUACGUGCCAGCAGCCGCGGUGAUACGUAGGCAUCAAGCGUUGUCCGGAUUUAUUGGGCGUAAAGAGCUCGUAGGCGGUUCAGCAAGUCGGGUGUGAAAACUCUGGGCUUAACCCAGAGCCUGCACUCGAAACUGCUGUGACUAGAGUUCGGUAGGGGAGCAGGGAAUUCCUAGUGUAGCGGUGAAAUGCGCAGAUAUUAGGAGGAACACCAAUGGCGAAGGCACUGCUCUGGGCCGAUACUGACGCUGAGGAGCGAGAGCGUGGGUAGCAAACAGGAUUAGAUACCCUGGUAGUCCACGCCGUAAACGAUGGGCACUAGGUGUGGGUCUCUAACCAACGAGAUCUGCGCCGUCGCUAACGCAUUAAGUGCCCCGCCUGGGGAGUACGGUCGCAAGACUAAAACUCAAAUGAAUUGACGG